Molecule: ribosomal RNA, 255 nt
Filed under: uncultured bacterium
Lineage: Bacteria
Description: partial 16S ribosomal RNA
Rfam family: Bacterial small subunit ribosomal RNA
Source: RNAcentral
UACGGAGGGUACAAGCAUUAAUCGGAAUUACUGGGUGUAAAGGGCGCGUAGGCGGAACUGUAAGUCGAAUGUGAAAUUCCAAAGCUCAACUUUGGCACUGCAUUUGAUACUACAGAUCUUAUGAGGUAUGACGGAGAAAGCGGAAUUCCACGUGUAGCGGUGAAAUGCGUAGAUAUGUGGAAGAACACCGGUGGCGAAGGCGGCUUUCUAGUUUUAACCUGACGCUGAGGCGCGAAAGCAAGGGGAGCAAACAGG